UCCCAUAAACCGUGGCUCAGUUCAGAUCGUAGGCUGCAACUCGCCUACGUGAAGUAGGAAUCGCUAGUAAUCGCAGGUCAGCAUACUGCGGUGAAUACGUUCCCGGGCCUUGUACACACCGCCCGUCACACCAUGGAAGUUGGCCAUGCCCGAAGUCGUUACUCCAACCCUUGUGGAGGAGGACGCCGAAGGUGGGGCUAAUGACUGGGGUGAAGUCGUAACAAGGUAGCCGUACCGGAAGGUGCGGCUGGAUCACCUCCUAG
This 263-nucleotide ribosomal RNA is filed under the name uncultured cyanobacterium. RNAcentral's name for it is "partial 16S ribosomal RNA". It matches the Rfam family "Bacterial small subunit ribosomal RNA", at positions 1272 to 1533 of the family's 1533-position model. The record is from RNAcentral. Lineage: Bacteria; Bacillati; Cyanobacteriota.